This is an RNA transcript of Entelurus aequoreus (snake pipefish), 2537 nucleotides long. It is a transcript of the gene named ankyrin repeat and sterile alpha motif domain containing 1Ab, with no coding region annotated. The transcript has 15 exons. The record is from RefSeq and is a predicted model, not a curated record. Lineage: Eukaryota; Metazoa; Chordata; Actinopteri; Syngnathiformes; Syngnathidae.
AUGUUUGUCAGUGGACUGGAAGUGGGGGGGGGGCAGGAAGUGGGUGGACCUUAGCAACUCUCACGCUCACUUCCUCUCUGAACUGCAGCACUUGGCGGUACAGGACUCGGACUUUGGAAGAUGGCACUGUGCACACCGGACCAGACCGAGGGCCCGGUCAGGGCCACACCUGCGGACCUGAGGCUGACCCGGAGUCUGUCCAAGUCCGACUCAGACUUGUUGGCGCCGCAGAGCGGGGAGGACGACGGAGGCCGCGCGGGUCGGAGCGGGUCCGAGUCCAAGCGUAGGUCCAACAGGAUGCCGUCCUUCGCCUCGGAAUGGGAUGAGAUUGAGAAGAUCAUGAACCUGAUCGGCGAGGGCAUCGAGAGGAGCGAGGAGACGCCAAGGAGCUCAGAUGGGGCCUGCGGCAAAGCCCUGGACCAGCCGGUGGGCGAGUGGCUGGAGCACGCGGGGCUGCCGCAGUACGAGGGCAAGUUCCUGCUCAACGGCUUCGACGACCUGCGCUUCAUGGGAAGUAACGUGAUGGAGGACCAGGAUCUCAGAGACAUUGGGAUCACAGACCCAGGGCACAGGAAGAAAAUCCUCCAUGCGGCACGUAACCUGCCCAAGGUCAAAGCUCUGGGCUGUGACGGCAGCACCUCUUUAGCCUCGUGGCUGGAUGGUCUGGGUCUGCAGGAGUACCUGCCCAACUUCCUGUCCAGUGGCUACCGCACCCUGGAGUGUGUGAAGAACCUGUGGGAGUUGGAGAUCAUCAAUGUGAUCAGGGUGGGGCCACUGGGCCACAGGAAGAGGAUCAUCGCCUCUCUGGCUGAGAGACCGUACGAGGAGGCUCCGUCUAAGUCCCGUCGUCUGUCUCCCAUCAUGUUCCAUGACCUCCUGUCCCAGACCACGUGCCCCCUGGGCCAGAUGGACCCCUACACCAGUCGCUCCAUGGACAUGCUCCUGCCCCUGGCGGAGGCCGACCGGAGGCGGCGAGGAGGGGACCAAGACUGUAGCGUUUCUCUGCGUUCCUACUGUGAGAGGCCGCGCUCUGUGGACCGUCAGAGUGAACGGCACAAAGAAUCUCGUCUCAACCUGCGGCCGCCCAGCCAAUCUGCUACCUACGCCACCGUGUCCGCCUGGCACCACCAGCCUGAGAAACUCAUCCUGGACGCCUGCGGGUACGAGGCCACUUACUUAGGUUCAAUGAUCAUCAGGGAUCUACGAGGGAUCGAGUCCACACAAGACGCCUGCGCCAAAAUUAGGAAAUCCAAGGACUCCAGAAAAGGUCCAGUUGUUAUCCUCUCCAUCACCUACAGGGGGGUCAAGUUCAUCGACGCCGCAACCAAGACCAUAGUGGCGGAGCACCAGAUCCGCAACAUCUCCUGCGCCGCCCAGGACCCGGACGACCUCUGCACGUUCGCCUACAUCACCAAGGACCUGAAGAGCGGCCACCAUUUUUGUCACGUCUUCAGCACGGUGGAGGUGACGCAGACGUACGAGAUCAUCCUGACACUGGGCCAGGCCUUCGAGGUGGCCUACCAGAUGACGGUCCAGGCCAGGGCGCGACACUACGUCCCACAAUCGUCUUUGGGCCCGGAGGUCCUCCAGACCAAAAUCAGCCGGCCGGUGUCGCAGUCGUGGAGCAGCAUGAGGAGAUCCGCAGGUGCCCCCGCGCUCGAGUGCCGCUGCUGUCACUGUCACUCGUGCACCACCCACCGUCCUUCCUUCCUCCCGUUGCACUCGGUUAGCCCCGGAGUUCAGAUGGACCCCCUGGAGACGGACGCAGACAUGCACUCCCUGGGCAGCACCUCCUGGCUCUUGGACCAGCGGGACUCCAGCCGGCGGCCCGUCAGCACCAAGUACGAGACCACCAUAUUCUGAGGGCCCGCCCCCCUAUCGCCCCCUCCCCUAAGCCCCGCCCCCCCCCCUGUCCCCUCCCCUGCAUUGUCCUCGCACACAAACGCAGUUGGAGCCCCGUGCCUUCUGACUGUGACGGCGUCGCCACCCUCAGGGCUGCCCCUCCCCCUUUGCACUCUUCCUCCUUUUGCCCAUGCCAAGGACUCCCUUGACUCCGCCUCCUCGCCAUUCGGCGCCUUGGAAGAUCCACAGAAGCGAGCUAUCUGCCAACCAAACUGCCUCUCCCCCCCCACCCCCCUCCCUCCCCCCCAUGACAACAUGCAUCCGCCUCCCUGACGGCACCCGGAGCCUAUCCUGUCUUACCAGGCAUCUACCACUGUGAGGCGCUGUGAGGAGGCCGCGCGACUUAGCCCGGGAUGCCAAAAAGACAAAUCGAUGAAAACAAAAAGUAGCAGUUUGUUGUUUUUGUUGUUUUGUCCCUUCUUCUAUGCAUUUGUUCUGUGCUCACCAACACUCUUUGCUGCACUUUGAUGUUCCCUCCAUGGCGAUGAUUCUCCCUCUGGACGCCUGCCGGGUCAAGACUUGUAGCACAGGGCCGUCAAACUCGUGUCGCAGUAAAUUUAAACAUUUAUUGAAAAUAUGCAUGUGGGUAAUUACAGGGUUUGUGCGGGUCAUUAAAAGGAUUUUUUUUGCAAAAA